RNAcentral lists this ribosomal RNA (610 nucleotides) under uncultured organism. Its description in RNAcentral is "bacterial SSU rRNA". It matches the Rfam family "Archaeal small subunit ribosomal RNA", at positions 803 to 1413 of the family's 1478-position model. The record is from RNAcentral.
AGAAAACCAUUAAGCCUGCCGCCUGGGGAAGUAAGGCCGCAAGGAUGAAACUAAAAGAAAUUGGCGGGGGAGCACCACCAGGCGUGAAGCCUGCGGUUUAAUAGGAGUCAACGCCGGAAACCUUACCGGGAGCGACAGCAGGGUGAAGGCCAGGUUGAAGGCCUUGCCGGACGAGCUGAGAGGAGGUGCAUGGCCGUCGCCAGUUCGUACCGUGAGGUGUCCUCUUAAGUGAGGUAACGAACGAGACCCGCGCCCCUUGUUGCCACCAAAUCCUAAAGGGAUGAUGAGCACUCUUGGGGGACCGCUGCCGACAAGGCAGAGGAAGGGGCGGGCAACGGCAGGUCAGUAUGCCCCGAAUCUCCCGGGCCACACGCGGGCUGCAAUGGUAGGGACAGAGGGCCGCGACCCCGAGAGGGGGAGCCAACCCCUAAAUCCUACCUCAGUUGGGAUCGAGGGCUGCAACCCGCCCUCGUGAACAUGGAAUGCCUAGUAACCGCGCGUCAUCAUCGCGCGGUGAAUACGUCCCCGCUCCUUGCACACACUGCCCGUCGAACCACCCAAAUGGGGUUUGGGUGAGGCGUGGUAGAAAGUUGGCCGCGUCGAACCUAGG